Long non-coding RNA from Helianthus annuus (common sunflower), 400 nucleotides. RefSeq lists it as uncharacterized. The record is from RefSeq and is a predicted model, not a curated record. Lineage: Eukaryota; Viridiplantae; Streptophyta; Magnoliopsida; Asterales; Asteraceae. The transcript is spliced from 3 exons.
UGUAUGUCACGAGCAGAGGGCAAGGGAAAAGGGAAAAACCCUUCUCCUUCAAUUGAACUCAAGAUUCAGCAAAUUGGUGAUGGUUUUAAACACAAAUCGAAUGCAUGAGCUUAGUUACUCCAUAACCUAAGUGGUUUGAACAUAAGUAUAGGGAUCAUAUCAAGAUGGAUGGAAGCAUGAAGGGCUAACGGGUCAAGAGGACAUGGGGAAGCGAACGCAAAUACGGAUGCGUAAGGUUGUACGGGAGACGGAGGAUCAUCAAGGUAUAAAGAUCGAGGACCGAGUCACUUGAGGGAUUGUACGGGGUUGUCUAAGGAUGUAAUUUGUUGUACAUAAGCUAUGAUUUAUUCUAUAAUUGAGUCAGUUGUUGUAUUCUAUAUAAAAAGAGUUAUUUUAAAAA